Molecule: RNA transcript, 394 nt
Organism: Arabidopsis thaliana (thale cress)
Lineage: Eukaryota; Viridiplantae; Streptophyta; Magnoliopsida; Brassicales; Brassicaceae
Exons: 1
Source: RefSeq
GAUCUGUCGAUGAAGCUCUUGUCUGGACUGGGUUUAACAACGAAGACAGAGAUCUUGUGGGGAUGUUUCUUCGUGAUCAUUGGUUCUGUUUCCUUCUUCGGAUUCGUCAUUGCAGUCGUGUCGUCGAAUGAUAGGCACUAUUGCUUCUUGAUUCCAUUGACUCUACCAGUUAUAAUGGUUGCUGUCUACUUUCAUUGGCUUAGCAUGAAGCUCUUCAAGCAUGCUUGAUAUAUCCAUCGAUCACCAUUUUAAGGAUCUAUUGUGAGUUUCAAUUUCACUCUCUCUUGACAAUUCAUUACUGUACGUAACAGAAAAGCUAUGGAUGUGGAUUUCUUGAUUAAAUUGAGACAACUUUGUUAUCAAAGUAGAUUUGUUUAACUUUAGUGAUUACUGC